Rhincodon typus (whale shark) is the source of this 964-nucleotide long non-coding RNA. RefSeq lists it as uncharacterized. The transcript is spliced from 3 exons. The record is from RefSeq and is a predicted model, not a curated record. Lineage: Eukaryota; Metazoa; Chordata; Chondrichthyes; Orectolobiformes; Rhincodontidae.
GGUGUGGUAACCUUCAGAUUAACCUCACCACCUGUUGUGUCUCUCUCUCUAAUAUGAAAGACAGCAGCUCUAUAGUCCUCUACUAUGACUUUACAUUCUUUUAAAAGAAUAGAAAGGAGAAUUUCAGAUUGGAAACUACCUAAACAACACAACAAAAGUGGUUGGAACCAGAAGAUACAACAUACUGGCAGCCAAGAUAUCUGAAAUAACAAUCACAGGUAUAUAUGCUUCGACCAAAUUCUGGCAGUUUAGUAGACCUAUGUUAACUUAAAACCUGCUUGCAAAAGAUAGGUUUGUGUCAUCACAAUGCUGGAAUUAGUCAGACUGUGGAUAUCGCUGGCUGGACCAGCAUUUAUCGCCCUUCCAUGGUUGCCCUCGAAGGUGGUGGCUGCUGAUUUUUGGACCACUGAAGUCCAUUUGGUGCAGAUAUACCCACAAUGCAGUUGGUGGCAAGGGGGAAAGAGUUCCAAGAUUUUGACCCAGCAACACUGAAGGGACUGUGACAUAUUUCCAAGAAUGGAGCGUGCGUAGUUUGGAGGGAAACUUGCAGUUGGUGGUGUUCCUGUAUCUAAUGUUCAUCUUUCUGGAUGGUAGUGAUCAUAGGUUUGGAAGGUGCCGUCUUAGCUGCCUGGGUGAAUUUCUGUAGUGCAUUUUGGAGAUGAUGCAUACUUCUGAGCAUCACUAGUGGAGGGACUGAAUGUUUGUGGACAUGAUGCCAAUCAAGCAGACUGUUUUGUCCUUGACUAUGUCAAGUUAGAGCUGAAAAUGGGGAAAGUAAUCAAAAACUAUGGGGUUGAAACUAAACUCUAGAAUGAGAGUUCAGGGUGCACUUACCAUUUACAAAAUGAUACACAAGGUUUAAAAAAAACUUAAGGAAAAAGAAUUUUGCCCAACUACAGAAAUCAAUAGACACAAAAUUGAGAACAAGCAAUCCUUAGUAAAAGGUUAAAAACUACUACUUAUC